GCACACCGAGUCUGGUCAACUGGAGGUAGUGGCAUCAUCAGCAUCACAGCGCGGCUCGCCCCAGACCCCGCUGUCCGGAUCAAGCCAGCCGCCGCGCUCGACCCACUCCGCCCGCAGUUCCUCCGCACGAGCCAUGAAACAGACUUUACUCGAACUAAUGAGGAUGAACAGAAUUUGUCGGAUGGUACUGGCCACUUGUUUGGGAUCGUUCAUUCUGGUCAUCUUUUAUUUCCAAAGUAUGUUCCAGCCAGUCAUGCGGAGGAACACAUUCGUGGCGGAGGGGUGCUGCGGGAAAGGAUCCAGAAACGCCCUAGAGGAGCUCUACAACUCAACGCAGACGGAGUUCACGGCGGCGGCGCUUCUGCACCAGGCUCGUCGGGAUCGCGUCUCGGCGGCGUGCCGCGCUCACUCAGCCUCCAGCCGACAGCGUCGCGUGCUGACGCCCGGCGACCUGCGCCACCUGCUGGUGGACGAGACGCACCGCCUCAUCUACUGCUACGUGCCCAAGGUGGCGUGCACCAACUGGAAGCGGGUCAUGAUGGUGCUCUCGGACGACGGCAAGAAGUACACCGACCCCAUGCAGAUCCUGUCGUUCGAGGCGCACGUGCCGGGCAACCUGCGCUCGCUCAGCCAGUACAGCAUCGGCGAGAUCAACCGCCGCCUCAAGGGCUACCUCAAGUUCCUGUUCGUGCGCGAGCCCUUCGAGCGCCUGGUGUCGGCCUACCGCAACAAGUUCACGCAGCGCUACAACACCUCCUUCCACCGGCGCUUCGGCACCAAGAUCGUGCGGCGCUACCGGCAGAACGCCACCGAGGAGGCCAUGCGGCUGGGCGCCGACGUCACCUUCCGCGAGUUCGCCGCCUACGUGACGGACCCGGCCACGCAGCGCGAGGGGCUCAACGAGCACUGGCAGACGGUCCACUCACUCUGCCACCCGUGCCUCAUCCACUACGACGUGGUGGGCAAGUACGAGACCCUGGAGGAGGACGCCGCCACCGUCCUGCGGCUGGCCAACGCCGAGGACGUCCGCUUCCCCGCCUACGCCAAGUCCACGCGCACCACCGACCAGAUGGCCGCCGUGUUCCUCCGCAACGUGAGCGUGCAGCAGCAGCAGCAGCUCUACCAGCUCUACAAGAUGGACUUCCUCAUGUUCAACUACUCCACGCCCAGCUACCUGAAACUAGACUAGACACACACACAUGGACACACACAUGGGCACACACACACACACACACACACACACACACACACACACACUGAGAGUGGAAACAUAUUACCAAGCUGGGCUUCCUUCUUGGAAAAGCAAAGAAGAGGAAAACAAGAUGGAUUGAUCUUGUUCUUGAAUCUUGAAUUUACCCUUGGGGAUCAAUAAAGUAUCUAUCUAUCUAUAUCUAUCUGAUGGAAAAAGGGAAAACUUGAUCAACUGUCUUCAUGCAGGGUAGGGGUUCGACUAAAAAAAAAAAAGAGAAAAAAAAAAUGAAACGGGACAAAAUAACGGACAAGAAAGGGUAUGGAGCCUGGGAGGGCAGGGCCUCAUUUUUGAUUGGACCAGAGGGUUGUCAGUCAGUGGAGAGCAGAGCUCACACAUGAAGAGUGAGGUUCUGAUUGGUCAGUUAUAUUCCAUUAGUUAGCAUGUUUCCAACCAAAAGGUUCACAGCAAGUUUACCAUCCAAACAUAUCAUCACUCAUAAACACAAAUACGUGAGGUGUGUGUUUGUGCCAAGUUUUCGCGUCGAAGCCAUAUUUUUGUUUCAUAAACAACGCGGAGGUGGAUUGACACAAAUGCUCACCCAUGAACUGGUCAGAUCUGACCCUCACGCCUAAAGCCGGCCUGUGUCUGGCUGACGAAGGGAAAUCGGUCUCCAUUAAACGGCAAAUCACACCCCAGCUGGACAUUCCUCUGAUCCACUCCAAGCUGGCUUUUCUAGCGGGAGGGUGUCACUGCCCAUGUGGACAGGCCACAUUUGGGACUUGGCACCCGAGACUGAAGGACCUGUGCUGACCACAGAAAGACAUCACACUCCUCAGCUCCUGAAUUCUGGCUCUGGUGUUUGGGUUUUUGUCUUCUGUGUUUAUGUGUGUGUGUGUGUGUGUGUGUGUGUGUGUGUGUGUGUGUGUGUGUGUGUGUGUGUAUGUAUCUCCACUGGGAAGCCAUGAUCCCUAGGACCCUAAGGAGACAUGUGUCCUCACCCAAUAAAUGAACCCUUCGCUCUGUCAACAUCUCAGUACACAUGAGGACGAUACCGCAUCACAUUCCAGUGUUUGAUAGACGAGAUCAGCGUGUCUUGUCCUUUCUGCAUUACUGAGAGAAAUCACAACAAUGGACACCUUGUGGUGAAGAUACAAAAGAGGAUCACAGCACUAUAGCUCAAUCCUAAUACUGCAUCAAAUUGAUCACCAAAGUUAAACCAUGUGGUGAAAAAAGGGAUAUAUAUAUAUAUAUAUAUUUUUUUUUUUUUUUCAGCUAAGAAUUACUAAUCAAAUUAUAUAGUUCUAAGGCUCUGAGCUGUGAUUGGCUCACAGACCUCAAUGGGUGUGGUUUAUUGGUAAUGCAAUGCUUUUGGGAGUAACAGGCUGCAUUUCUGUAGAGUGGACGCUGCAUGGGCUGCAUGAUUCUGUCCCAGGAGGGCCGCUUCACGUGCUGCUUUUCCUCCGAGCUCAGCAGUUAUUUCUCUGAUUAAGACAUGCAGAUCUGCAGAGAGGAGGCUGUUAGGCCAUAAUUAAUCACCGGUUUAAAACGUCUCCCGAAAUUGUGUGUGUCUCAUUGUAAAGUAGUAGAAUGAGGUGUUGUCUUGUCCUCUGUUCACAAAGGUGUUAACAGAUUGAAUUUGGGGUUCAUCCAGUCUGUGUGUCCGUGUGUGUGUGCAAGCAGAAGGCUGUGCCUACAGUAGAACUGAAUGGCGGCAGAUCUUUAGGCUAACUGCACUCCUCUUUUGCUCCCCCUCACUCCCAUUUCAUAUUUAUUUAUUUAUUCCUGUUGCCAUGGUAUCACACCUGGAUUCUGUCUGGCGCUCAUUGCAGAAAGGCUCCUGCUGGUUCACUGAGUCCAGUCAAACUUCACCAACACAAACGACAGCAAACGGCAAACUGCUCCAGCAACUGUACAGACUGUGUGUUGGAGGUCCAUAUGUAUCCCUUUGGGGAAUGUGUCCUGUGGGUCUUUCUGGGUCUCUUCUUGCUUCCCAAUAAAGAUGAAACAA
RNA transcript from Alosa sapidissima (American shad), 3200 nucleotides. It is a transcript of the gene named carbohydrate (chondroitin 4) sulfotransferase 11, with no coding region annotated. NCBI's taxonomy places the organism in Eukaryota, Metazoa, Chordata, Actinopteri, Clupeiformes, Clupeidae. The transcript is spliced from 4 exons. The record is from RefSeq and is a predicted model, not a curated record.